AUUGAGCGCUGGCGGCAGGCCUAACACAUGCAAGUCGAGCGGAUGAAGGGAGCUUGCUCCUGGAUUCAGCGGCGGACGGGUGAGUAAUGCCUAGGAAUCUGCCUGGUAGUGGGGGAUAACGUCCGGAAACGGGCGCUAAUACCGCAUACGUCCUGAGGGAGAAAGUGGGGGAUCUUCGGACCUCACGCUAUCAGGUGAGCCUAGGUCGGAUUAGCUAGUUGGUGGGGUAAAGGCCUACCAAGGCGACGAUCCGUAACUGGUCUGAGAGGAUGAUCAGUCACACUGGAACUGAGACACGGUCCAGACUCCUACGGGAGGCAGCAGUGGGGAAUAUUGGACAAUGGGCGAAAGCCUGAUCCAGCCAUGCCGCGUGUGUGAAGAAGGUCUUCGGAUUGUAAAGCACUUUAAGUUGGGAGGAAGGGCAGUAAGUUAAUACCUUGCUGUUUUGACGUUACCAACAGAAUAAGCACCGGCUAACUUCGUG
Molecule: ribosomal RNA, 484 nt
Filed under: uncultured bacterium
Lineage: Bacteria
Description: partial 16S ribosomal RNA
Rfam family: Bacterial small subunit ribosomal RNA
Source: RNAcentral